GACGAACGCUGGCGGCGUGCUUAAUACAUGCAAGUCGAACGGUAAGGCUCCAGCUUGCUGGGGUACACGAGUGGCGAACGGGUGAGUAACACGUGGGUGACCUGCCCUGCACUUCGGGAUAAGCCUGGGAAACUGGGUCUAAUACCGGAUAGGACCGCACCGUGAGGGUGUGGUGGAAAGUUUUUUCGGUGUGGGAUGGGCCCGCGGCCUAUCAGCUUGUUGGUGGGGUAAUGGCCUACCAAGGCGGCGACGGGUAGCCGGCCUGAGAGGGUGGACGGCCACAUUGGGACUGAGACACGACCCAGACUCCUACGGGAGGCAGCAGUGGGGAAUAUUGCACAAUGGGCGGAAGCCUGAUGCAGCGACGCCGCGUGGGGGAUGACGGCCUUCGGGUUGUAAACUCCUUUCACCAUCGACGAAGGGUUUCUGACGGUAGAUGGAGAAGAAGCACCGGCUAACUACGUG
RNAcentral lists this ribosomal RNA (465 nucleotides) under uncultured bacterium. RNAcentral describes it as "partial 16S ribosomal RNA". It matches the Rfam family "Bacterial small subunit ribosomal RNA", at positions 28 to 507 of the family's 1533-position model. The record is from RNAcentral.